Misgurnus anguillicaudatus (oriental weatherfish) is the source of this 2132-nucleotide non-coding RNA. Lineage: Eukaryota; Metazoa; Chordata; Actinopteri; Cypriniformes; Cobitidae. The record is from RefSeq and is a predicted model, not a curated record.
UGAAUUACCAGGUGUUUUCUUUAUUUUGUACAUUCUAAAUUGUCAAUGUUUGUUUAAUUUAACCUGAAGGGGCAUUAAAAACAAAUAAUCGCAAAAGUGCCCUCUGGUGGCGUAUAUAUGCGUUGCACCAUAAGCGAAGAUGAGCCUCGUGACGUGACAGUUUUUUUUUCAAACUGAGGUGAGGAGUUCGGACUCCGGACCGGCAUUUCUGCUUGUUUGUACCCUGAGAUAACCAUGGUUAAUAAAUGAUCAGACACGUUACUGGCUUUAAAAUAUAAACCCCAUUGAUGCAAAAAGAUGCUGCAUGGAAUGACAAUGAGGUUUGGAACAGACUUGGUGAAGAACAUGGAAACAUCUCUAAAUAAAAUGGCCCCAAACAUCAUCAGGAGUGCAAAAGAAGGAAGUAAAAAACAUCUCUACGCCAAUCUCAUUGGAGAGGAAACCACAGAAGGUCUGGUGAGGAAUGAUGCACUUGUGUUAUUGCCAGCAUUAUUUCAAGAAAAUCCCAGCUUCCUUGACUGUGUAAAUAGUGUAGGAACCCAAAGGUCCCACACCAACCAAAGUGUUCAACGGCUCUCCUGAUCUUCUCAAAUCUGAAAGUAUCAACUUUAUAAUGGACAAUGUGAACUUAAUAUGUGGAAGACAUUGACAUCACAGGCUGUGGAAUGACUGUGUCACAGGUCGGAGAAGCGGACCGCCCCUGUCGCGGAUCACGCUCCUCCUAGUUCCACCUCGAGGAGGUCCCAAAGCACCCCAAUGACCAGACAAACCAGAGAUAAGUAAAAUAUAAAAAUAGAAACUUUAUUUAAAUUAUUUAAAACUAAAGUGGGGAAUGGGAAAGGGAAUCUAAAAAUCUCGCUUCUCGCCCUCAGGGGGAGUAUUACGGGGCCAGGGACGUUGGAGGGGUUUCCACGUGACUCCAGCUGGAACACCGCUACAGAGCGUAUCUGGGUGGGUUGGGCACACAUCGUCGCGACGGCCCCUGAUGGCAUCCACAAAGGUCCAAGACCCUCCUAAGCUCCCAGCCGUAGCAGAACUACGUAUUUCAGCACCCGAACGACUAACAUCCCAGCCGGCAUCUGCAGCGUAUAUCCAACGCGAUCAAACUUCACUCUGACAAGUAACUUCCUAUACACAACCACGCCGUCCUUUCGCCCAGACCAGCCCCGCACUCUUUCCGCCCGCUACCUAGCGGUCGCCGGAUCAGCAGAGCCUGCGGACUCUUCGGACUCUGCGACCCUUCCAGUAACUUCUACCUUCUCUCUUUAUAUCCUCCUCCAUGGCGUGGCUCGCCCAACCAUCGCUCGCCACGUCACUCACACAGCUGUGCCUUGUUUCAGUGAGUGCGGGGAUUCCCGAGGAACCCGGAAGUGCCGGUGUCUGUACAAACCGGUCCGGGCGGAACCUCUUCACUCUCCUUUUGGUUCCGCCCCGCAUAGUCACUCCGUGACAACUGUUUGCGUUUUUUUUUCUCCUCAAUGUUCAAUACCCUUUUGCCAUUAAGCACACAGUGACAUUAAUUUAUAAAAUAUAUGCUUAAGUUUUAAUACCUGUACAAAACAAAUGUACAAUCAACUUGUGUAAAUUGUCAUUUUAUUUAAUAGAUUGUUCAUGAAUUGUCUUUAAAUGCAUUGUGAUUUCGGUAACACUUUACAAUAAGGUUCAUUAGUUAACAUUAGUUAAUGUAUUAACUAACUUGAACAAACCAUGAGCAAUACAUUUGUUACAGUAUUUAUUCAUCUUUGUUAAUGUUAGUUAAUAAAAAUUUAAGCUUUAAUUGCUUGUUCAUGUUAGUUCAGAGUGCAUUAACUAAUGUUAACAAGAUUUUAAUAAAGUAUAAGUAAUUGUUGAAAUUAACAUUAACAAAGAUUAAUAAAGGCUGUAUAAGUGCAGUUCAUUAUUAGUUCAUGUUAACUAAUGUAGCUAACUAAUGUUAACUAAUGAACCUUAUUGUAAAGUGUUACCGUGAUUUCUUUUCAUCAUUUCAGACACAUGUAAAAGUUACAAAAAAUUUGUACUGCAUAUACUGUACAGUAUCUAUGCGUAAGGGAAAUAACUUGAACAAAAUGUUUUAUGUAUAGUGUAAUUAAGAGAUUUAGCUGUUUAAUACAGAGAUGCUAUAUAUAUAUAUA